RNAcentral lists this ribosomal RNA (466 nucleotides) under uncultured bacterium. RNAcentral describes it as "partial 16S ribosomal RNA". It matches the Rfam family "Bacterial small subunit ribosomal RNA", at positions 28 to 507 of the family's 1533-position model. The record is from RNAcentral.
GACGAACGCUGGCGGCGUGCUUAACACAUGCAAGUCGAACGGAAAGGCCCAGCUUGCUGGGUACUCGAGUGGCGAACGGGUGAGUAACACGUGGGUGAUCUGCCCCUGACUUUGGGAUAAGCCUGGGAAACUGGGUCUAAUACCGGAUAUGACCUUACAUCGCAUGUUGUUUGGUGGAAAGCUUUUGCGGUUGGGGAUGGGCCCGCGGCCUAUCAGCUUGUUGGUGGGGUAAUGGCCUACCAAGGCGACGCCGGGUAGCCGACCUGUGAGGGUGAGCGGCCACACUGGGACUGAGACGAGGCCCAGACUCCUACGGGAGGCAGCAGUGGGGAAUAUUGCACAAUGGGCGCAAGCCUGAUGCAGCAACGCCGCGUGAGGGAUGACGGCCUUCGGGUUGUAAACCUCUUUCACCUGGGACGAAGCGUGAGUGACGGUACCUGGAGAAGAAGCACCGGCCAACUACGUG